Long non-coding RNA from Ostrea edulis (European flat oyster), 1355 nucleotides. RefSeq lists it as uncharacterized. The record is from RefSeq and is a predicted model, not a curated record. The transcript is spliced from 2 exons. Lineage: Eukaryota; Metazoa; Mollusca; Bivalvia; Ostreida; Ostreidae.
AAAAGUCACAAUAUACUUGGCGAAUUGCCAAUACGAAGCUAAAGUGACCAGGGAUUGUUAUUGAUAUCUGUAUUAAUAUAGGGAGGUGACCAUUCUACAUUGAUCCAGUGCGUUUUUAUGGGAUUCGAAACCGUGACUGUGAGAUGUAUGAGAGUUUGACUCAUAGGCGGGCAAUUCUACUUUCACUUUAAACGGAUGGCAGGUGCCUGAGUGUAUCUCGACUCAUUUCCAGGCUAGCAGAUGUCAUGAUGGACCUUUAAAAUCUUUCACAUGUGUACUUUCAAGAACUAUAUACAUUAUUUUUGAAAAUUGGUUGCCAUGGUAAUAAAAUCUGGAAAUUAAAACAUGGGCUCCUGAAGGCGAAAUUUCCUCCAUUUCCUGGUAGUUUGAGACCAAAUUUCAUCGUUUACGAAUCUUAUUUUCCGGAAUAUCCGGUUUUGAAUUUGAAAUUUACAUAGCAGUCACUAUUUCCUCAUUUUAGUCUUCUCGUUGAUUGGUUGAAUCAUUACGAUAUAGCCCAACCAGCAGAAUGAACACCGAUUGUAAACACGUGGGCCUUACAAAAAUGUCCGUAAAAGUAGUACAAAGAGACGCCAAUGAUGUUAAUAAGGCCAUUGCCAAGGUCCAGCUUUUUAAGAAUCUUUGGGUCAAGUGUUGGGAAAUUUGCCUAGGACCUUCGCCUAAAACUGGGUUAGGGAACCAAUACUUACUGGCAUUUUUAUAAAGCUUAAAACCUCAAAACGGGUUCAAAGAAUUCAUUUUCUGGAAAGCUUCUCAUUUGAUGAAAACCUCCUCAGAUAGUGUAAUAUCUUAAUUAAAUCAUGGCUCCUGGGGGAAAGAGGGAGACCGCAGUACUGAUGCAACUCUGGAGAUUAACGUAGGACUAAUCUGAUUAACGUACAUAUAAUUUGAUUUAACUUUUUCAGUCUGAAGAAGACUGCUGUUUAUCCAAGAUUCAGUCUUCGAAGGGGCCCCGUGUGCAACCUGCAGAACUACUUAGUGCUGGAUUAUUUGAAAAUCUUUUCGAUAACAACAAGACUAAAUUGUCUCUGGUUGAUAUAAAUACAUCUUCAUGCAAUGUAGGAUUCUCAUUUUUUAUAAUCGAAUACUUUGGCUUCGCUUUGGACGGAAAGGGAUUCCAAAUUUAUGAUAUUUAAAACUUUAUGAAAACAAUUAGCACAAGCCUCUGGUGCCGACGAUAAGUUGGCUCGAAUACGGAGAAAUCUGUUUUUUAAAGAUUGAUAGAUAUAUCUACUCCGAACUGAUGAAACACUCUGACGAAGACAAUAGAAAAUAGACAGAGAAACUAAUCUCCGAUUGAUCGUCUAUACUCUGAAUAAAAAUACGUCAACACA